This 505-nucleotide ribosomal RNA is filed under the name uncultured bacterium. RNAcentral describes it as "partial 16S ribosomal RNA". It matches the Rfam family "Bacterial small subunit ribosomal RNA", at positions 28 to 507 of the family's 1533-position model. The record is from RNAcentral.
GACGAACGCUGGCGGCGUGCCUAAUACAUGCAAGUAGAACGCACAGUUUAUACCGUAGCUUGCUACACCAUAGACUGUGAGUUGCGAACGGGUGAGUAACGCGUAGGUAACCUGCCUGGUAGCGGGGGAUAACUAUUGGAAACGAUAGCUAAUACCGCAUAAUAUUAAUUAUUGCAUGAUAAUUAAUUGAAAGGUGCAAUUGCACCACUACCAGAUGGACCUGCGUUGUAUUAGCUAGUAGGUGAGGUAACGGCUCACCUAGGCGACGAUACAUAGCCGACCUGAGAGGGUGAUCGGCCACCCUGGGACUGAGACACGGCCCAGACUCCUACGGGAGGCAGCAGUAGGGAAUCUUCGGCAAUGGACGAAAGUCUGACCGAGCAACGCCGCGGGAGUGAAGAAGGGUGUCGGAUCGUAAAGCUCUGUUGUAAGAGAAGAACGGGUGUGAGAGUGGAAAGUUCACACUGUGACGGUAUCCUACCAGAAAGGGACGGCUAACUACGUG